This 117-nucleotide non-coding RNA is filed under the name Pelosinus fermentans. The record is from RNAcentral. Lineage: Bacteria; Bacillati; Bacillota; Negativicutes; Selenomonadales; Sporomusaceae.
GGUGGUAGGUCCACCGAAAUCGCCAUACAGGUGGAGGUUUCAAACUACCUUAAGGUGCUGUGGCCAAAAUCCAUGGUAUUGAGCGUUAAGGAAAAGGCAGUGAUAAAACUGUCAAGU